Molecule: ribosomal RNA, 479 nt
Filed under: uncultured bacterium
Lineage: Bacteria
Description: partial 16S ribosomal RNA
Rfam family: Bacterial small subunit ribosomal RNA
Source: RNAcentral
GAUGAACGCUAGCGGGAGGCCUAACAUAUGCAAGCCGAGCGGUAGAGUUUCUUCGGAAACUUGAGAGCGGCGCACGGGUGCGUAACACGUGUGCAACCUACCUUUAUCUGGGGGAUAGCCUUUCGAAAGGAAGAUUAAUACCCCAUAAUAUAAUGAUUGGCAUCAAUUAUUAUUGAAAACUCCGGUGGAUAGAGAUGGGCACGCGCAAGAUUAGAUAGUUGGUGAGGUAACGGCUCACCAAGUCAAUGAUCUUUAGGGGUCCUGAGAGGGAGAUCCCCCACACUGGUACUGAGACACGGACCAGACUCCUACGGGAGGCAGCAGUGAGGAAUAUUGGACAAUGGGUGAGAGCCUGAUCCAGCCAUCCCGCGUGAAGGAUGACGGUCCUAUGGAUUGUAAACUUCUUUUGUACAGGGAUAAACCUACCCUCGUGAGGGUAGCUGAAGGUACUGUACGAAUAAGCACCGGCUAACUCCGUG